Molecule: long non-coding RNA, 10138 nt
Filed under: Homo sapiens (human)
Lineage: Eukaryota; Metazoa; Chordata; Mammalia; Primates; Hominidae
Description: non-protein coding lnc-SLC6A12-2:6
Source: RNAcentral
AGAAGGGAAUUCUGGCAGAACCACUUCUGGACCUGUCCCUCUGCACCCCCCAUUCCUGCGCCCUCAUUUAACCUCCCUGACUCUGACCUGGGCUUGGUCUAUCUUGGGGCCUGGCUGCCGUCCUGGGACGGGAAGGGGAGCAGAUCAGAACUCAGCCUGCGGCUCCAGGCCGCUGGGCGCUGGCUGGGCCUCACGUUCUCCUGGAAGGACCACCUCCCUUGCCCUCCACGGGGUCUGCCUUUGCUCCCAAGGCUCCGCCCUGGACGGAGCGUCCUUCUUGCCUGGGCGUCUUCAGACCUUCAUCUGUGACACCGGGGGCCAUGUGGCUCACCCCGAGGAAGAGACGAGGACUCGCUGUGUUGGCUGUUCUUGAGCUUCUGGGCUCAAGCAAUCCUCCCUCCUGAGCUUCCCAGAGUGCUAGGAUUACAGUGAAGACUAAGGGCCAAGCAUGAGCCUUUCUUCCUGCUCUUUUACCCUUGAGGCAGCAGGAGAGGAUAUUCACCUCCUGACAUGACAGAUUCUGACGCUAUCUGCUCCUCUGUGACUUUGGGAAGCGGGGUAUGUGCUGCUCCUGGGCUGAUGGGGGAAAGUGCCUCUCCCAGCAAUGCUGGUGCCACUUGGUGUGCUACGGCCCCCCAGGGCAGUGCGGAGCCAUCUGGGACAGUUAGACAAUGAGAGACGUGAAGCCAUUUCAAGGUGCUUCCUUGAAAAUGCUCCAGAAAAACAGCAGAGGCGGCCUCUCUGGGGAUCCGGUCCAGCCCUUGAAAAGAAUCUGUUUGUUUCACCACUGAACUCAAAUAAGCCAACAGAUUGAAGGAAGGGAGUUUCCACGCGCCCCUCCCCACCAAGCAGUUACCUGAGUUCCAGAGUCCAGUCCGAUGGAUCCCAUUUUACCCUGGUUUAAAUUGUUUCCUUAGAAAAAAAUAAACAGAACCUCUUCUCUCACUCUCCAGUGGAAAGUAUAGAAUCAAACGUAAAUGAAAAUGACAGUUUCUAACAUGCGCGACCUGGACACGCGGCUGAACUCCGAGCCUCAGCUGCAGAGUGGGGUCAAUGCACCUACCUUGCAGCGUCACUGUGAGGAUCCACACAACAGAAAUAAACUGCUUAGUGUGUAGUAGGAGCCUCAAAAAUGAUGAUUCAAAAGCACCAGCCUGUCACAUUCAUCCCCUGCUCAAAAACUCUCCCUGCCUUUCCUAGCGCCUAAUGGACAGAUAUUAGUUCAGAAACACUUUAUAACUAAGUGGCCAUAGAGGCAGGCCUGAAGCCUAUUUUCAUUUUCUGUUUCAGUUUCUGAAUCUGUUCUUAUUUAGUCUUCCCUUAAAGGCUAUCUGGCGCCUCCGUGAUGCUUAAUCAGGACAAGCUUGCAGAUGGGUACAGGUUGCAGGCCCUUGCCUCUCUUCCCUUAACCCCACAGCAGCCAGUAAACCACCUGGACACAGAAAGAGACCCACAUAUUCUCUAAAAUGCCUGAAUGGAACAAUCUAGAAUCUAAGCAUUCCUUAUAGGAACAGAGACUACUGUAAGAUGCGGGAUAGUAAGAAGGCAGCCUAGACUCUUCAAAAGGACAAUGUUUUAAAAAAAAUGAAGUGGAGGGAUGAUUCAAGAUUAAAAGAGAGUGAAGAAAUGAGGCCAACCAGAUGCAGUGUACAGACUUGGGCCACAGUGGGGGAGGUGACAGCAGACGGUUUGGUGGGAAGGAACGCACCAGAGCCCCAUGGGCCUGCCUGGCCAGCUCGCUUGGUCAUCCUGGUAAAACAGCAGAGCUCUCUGUUCCAAGAGGCCCACGCGCAGCCCCACAUGCCUGCUGAUCUGUGUACACACGUGUGUGCACUCUAGCAAGCCUCACUUUAAUUGUGAAGAAACAUGGGAACCGGUGCUCCCACCCGGGCUGUGGGAGUGUGGUGCGGUGGGGCCUGGACACGGGGAGGGUCCGAAGUGGGGCCAGCUCCCUGGAGUCAGGCAUGUCUGUCUCAAGCUGCCCCUGUCCCUUGCUGAAUGGGAACCCCCACCAGCUGCCUCGGGAGCCCGUGUCCUUACACUCUAUUCGGAUCUGCUCCAGCUCCGUCACCUCAGCAAUGGACUCCUUCAGGUCCUCCACGAACUUCUGCAUCUCGUCCGAGCCCAGGGCACAGAAAUGCAGCACCUGCUUCUUCUCGGAGCCCGAGAGCGGGGUCACCAGUGUGAUGCCAUGAGAGUAAUCUGGAAAGCAGACCCCAGGCCCCCAGUGGGCUGUGAGCAGCAGCAGCCGAGGGCCAGAGCCAGCCAGACAUGAGGAGGGCACGGGGUCUCAUGCCUCCACCCACUCUGCUGUCCAGCCCUUCUCCCUCAACUCGCCCCAGCCAUUUCAUCCAUUCAUUCCUUCUCAAAGACUUACACUGGCUGUCAAAGACUUACACUCGUUCUCAAAGAGCUGGAACUGCAUGCCCAGCAGGCCAACUGACUUGCAAAAGGUGUACGUGGAGGAGCUCUUCUUCUUCGGGCAAAGUUUGAGAAUCUGUUCAGGAGAGGGAAACAGGCAUGCCCUGAUGAACAGACACUCACGGACACAUGGAUGCACAAACACCCGGGGGAUGCACGAUCACACAAACCCACGCAGUGAUGAAUGUGCACAUACAGGUACAGAUAUACAUAUAUGUGCACACACUAUCCCAAAAUGUGCUUCUUCACUGCACAAAACCCUACAGUGGUUAUUCCCUCUGUACUUAGAAGCCAAGCCACGGCGCCUGAGCUGGCCUGUAAAACCCACCUGAUGUGGUCCUUGCCUUACUCUGGCCUUCUGCCCAAGUGUCCUCCCUGCUGUAGCUUGAGAAGGGCAAGCUCAGUUCCACUGUGGGCCCCUCGCAUACACUGUUCCCACUCCACAGCUCUCCCGGCAGCUUUUUGCACGGCUGCAUUACUCUCAUUACUUAAGUCUCAAAUGCUACCUCCUUAGAGAUGCCUUCCUGGAUCACCUCCUCUAAAAAACAAACCAAAGCAAGCCCAAACCUGGCCCUUAACUCCAGUCACUCUCUGUACUAUCACCUGGUUUGUGGCCUUCAUAGUGCCUUCCCCCAAUCUGAUAUUAUCUUGUUUGUCUGUUUCUUAAUUAUUUUCUAUCUCCCUCCCCUACUAAAAUGAAAGCUCGUUUUAGUAAAGUCAUCUGGUUGCUUAAUAAACAAAUUUCUAUUCAGCAGCUUCUGUGAGCUGAGCCCUGGAGAUACAGGAGAACUCAGGACAGAGCCCCUGCCCUUAAGGUGCUUAUGGAAUGUGGAGUGUCACAGUGUCCAUCAGGUGAUCAAACAAUAAAGCAUAACAGCAAAAAAACAAAACCAAAGUGCUACGUGUUUUGAAGAAAAUGAAACAGGGUAAGGAAUCAAAAGUGAUUUGAGACUUGAAUGAAAAGGAGGAGGCCAGGAAGGCAAGAGGAGAGUGCAAGGUCUGGAGGAGCUUUGCAAGAAGGAGCAGCAAGUACAAAGGCCUGGCCCACAGGAGGGAGGCGCCUCCCAGGGCUGAGGAGAGGGCGGGGAGGCAGGUUAGGGAAAGGGGACACGUGGCCUGAUGUGCACUCCAGAGAGAUCACGCUGCUGCUCUCAGGGGGGUGGGGAGAGCCGUGUGGAGGCUGAUGUGGUUCACUGAAUGUACCAGGCGUGCACUAAGACUGUAGUAGUGGAGGUGGUGAGAGGUGGUUCAGGCUUGUGAUCACUUUGGAGGCAGUGCCAACGUGGCUCAUGGAUAGAGAGGGCCGGUGCGAGGGAGACACAAGCCCUGCUCCAGUCCUGCUCACCAGUUUUCCAGACCUACAAUGAUGCCUGGCACAUGGUCAACGCUGAUCAAAUAUUUGUUGAAUGGAUACUUCUUUUCAAAGAGCAAAAAAAGUAUCUGUGGGUACAGAUGUGUGUAUGUGUGUGCACGCACACACACACACCAGCCUCGCCUAGGCCCAGGGACAGAGCAUGCUCCGCCUAGGCCCUGCUCCUCCCAGGCCCUGGGGUCUGAGGCACAGCCCUGUGCACUCCCUGUCCUGGGCUUCCUGUAACGUGGAGAGGCCAGUGGUCUGGGAACUAGUUCGUUAACAGUUUGUGCAACCACGAGCAGAUCAUCUGACGUCUCGGUGUCAUGACUUAUGAGGGACCCUGCCCAGGCUGACCAGGGCGGCAGAGGCAGCCCCAGCCCAGCCCAGUCCCGGAGCGGAGGCCACUCACCACCAGCAGGUCAUUGAAGAGGAACACCUCCCUCUGAUGCGCUGCCUGCUUCUGCAGCUUGUUCACAUCCGUCACCUCGAAGAGCCGGCUGCAGCACACCAGGCGGCGGUGGGGCACGGACAGCACCUGCACGCGGGCAGGGCGCUCAGCGGGAGAGACCAGAGGCCUGGAGGCCUCCCCACCCACGCGCCCAUUUUCCAGAAGAGGAGACAGCCCGGGAGAGGGGAGGGGCCCGGUUCUGUGGAGGGAGGAGAGGGGAGGGGUCCGGUUCUGUGGAGGGAGGAGAGGGGAGGGGUCCGGUUCUGUGGAGGGAGGGGAGGGGAGGGGUCCGGUUCUGUGGAGGGAGGGGAGGGGAGGGGUCCGGUUCUGUGGAGGGAGGGGAGGGGAGGGGUCCGGUUCUGUGGAGGGGGAGGGGAGGGCUCCGGUUCUGUGGAGGGAGGAGAGGGGAGGGGUUCGGUUUUGUGGAGAGGGAGGGGAGGGGCUCCGGUUCUGUCCUGGGGCCUGGACUUGACUCUCAUCCUUCUCUCUCCUCGUCUGAGGCUCUUUCCCUCGCACGUUCACCCCCUGUCCCAGGGCUCAUCCCUGUCAUGCUUCUUGGGGAGCACGGCCAGAGAAGGGGCCCACUGAGCCACAGUAAAUGAGGGGAUAGAGGGACAGGAAUAGGAAAUUGAGAAGAGCUUGCAGGCUGUUCCAGUCCAGCCACUGUCAACCUGCUUCCCUCCGUAACCUUGAGGGCAUCCCCUGCCCCAGGCUGCGGCCUGCAGAUAUGACACCUCCACCCUUUCUAUACUGCAGAGAUGCAGGUGUGCGAGAGCGAAGGGAUCACAGAGACACCUGGCAUCUACUCCAGCGUGUAAGACAAACCAGUCGCUUGCAACCCGACAGAUGCUGAGACCUCAGCAAUAAAGGCUCUCAAAGCAGAAAAGCCUGUCCCUGCACAGACUGGGAGGAGGGAGCCCAGUGCAGGGCCUCAGAAGAGAUCUCCAAACUCUCCCACACCGUCCCCUGAGGCAAGAAUAUGAGGAGGAGGAACUGGAACCCCCAUGACAUCCUUUAUAGUAUAAAGUGUAGUAGCCUACAGAGAAGUCCCACUUUAAAAAUCAUGGCAGGCUUGGAACAUGCUGCCUGGGACACAGGUCACUACCAAUAGGACAAAUCUAUGGUGAUGCCACAGCCUGGAGCCUAUUGAGCCCAUUUCCUGCCUUCCACUCAUCAGGACCAUCCAGGAAUGCCUGGUAGUCAUGCUGUCCUAGGAAAGGGAUACUAAAUCUCAUCUGGCCACCCAGAUGCUUCCACCCUAGACCACUGGGCAGUCCUUCCUGACAUCUCAUCUCCGUCUCUCCUGCUGCAGUAUCGGGUGGCAAGAGGCAAUGAGGAAAUCAGGCAAGAAAAAAAAAAAGAGAUGCAGUGUCUGGCACACAGUAGGUACUUCAUAACUAUCAUGUGAAUGAAUAUGAAAAAAGAGUUUUGGAAAGGUAAGAAGGAGAAUGGGAAGAGAUGCCAGGAAGAAAGAAAGGAAAGGAGACGGGAGAUAGGUAGCUUGUGGACACUCACUGUCUUCAUGCCCACAAUGGACUUCUCCACCUUGGUGACGUACGUGACGUGGUCCUCAUUGGACUUGAGCUCCUUCUGCUGUAUCCUCUCAUAGAUGCCUACCACCAGCUCCCUGGGGAUGUCAGCGCCAUCGUCCACACCUAACAACGUGGAGUGGGCAGGGGUGGUGGUGGGGUUGGGAGGGAGGGUGUCAGAGCCCUGGAGCCAGACAGAAGAGACCCCCAUCCAGCCUGGAGCUCCCGGGGGGUGGCCUUGGUUCUUGCCAUGCCUUCAAUGGCUGGUGCCUCAUACCCAUUCAAUUAAGAACAAGUUCCUUAGCCAGGCACCAAAACUAAUGAUAUGGCCCCAACACACAUCUCCUGCCUCACCUCCUGAUGUUCCCCAACCAGAGUCUUCACGCCCACCUCCCAGGCCUCUUUCCUGAUGGCAGAUACAGCCUCCAUGUUCCUGCUAACCCUGUGCGCCUCUGCAGUUCUGUCGUCUUCCUUGUGUUCGUCUCACCCCCCAGCUCCACCCCACCACUCCAGCAUCAUAAGGAGCUUCUGUUUCGUUCUCUUUUGGAUCUUCCUCCUGCUGGGCUCUCCUCUCCCCUCCAGUAGGGAGCAUGGCAUUGAGGGCUUAGUCUUUGAAGAGAUUCCUCCCUCACUGGGAGCAGUGGGGGAGCAGGCAGACCCCUGGCAAUGCAGGCGAGGACACCCCUGUCCCACCUCCUGCUUCAUAGUAAUGAUAAAACUCGGGCAACAAAAAAACACUGGCAGGAAAUAUGCCAACAAGAAAACACGUUUCUUUUGGAGAAACAGGCGAUUAAAAUAUCUUCUUUCUACUAUUUCCAAAUCUUUCUUUAAUGACUAUACGCUUCUUUUAUAAGAGGGAAAAAUUAAAAAUAAAACAACUUUGGCAAGCAUCUCUCAAAGGAGUGUUCCCAGCUACUGAAAGGACACCCCGCCUUCCACACGCAGCUCCCGGCCUGCUCUGGUCUCUUCCACGUCUGAUCUUGGUUCUCGAAGUCAGGCAAAUGAGCCAUGCAGCAGCCAAGGAGGCUGAAAGAAAUCAGGCGGCGGGUGAGAAAAACCAAGGAGAAAGGCUGAGUGUAUGGAUGCCCCCAGUUCAAGGUGGCAGGCUGCAUGCCUCUGCUGCUUCUGAAUACUCGGGAGAAAGGAAUCUUUUAGAAAAGCAUACACCCACAAAGACAGAGAACAGGGGCACAGGCACCCCAGGACCUGGCAAGUGGAUAAAUAAGUGGAUGGAUUUAGCAAACCUGAGAAAGCUGAACCCAGACCAGCAGAGAGGUUAGAAGCCACUCAAACACCACACAGCCACCAAAGGGCUUAGAGCUGGUGGUAACAGCAGCCCCUAAAAGCGAAGGUGAAGGUGGGCUGGGAAUUGGAAAACAGGUUGAAAACGGGUUAGAAAGCUGCUGGGCUUCCCUAUCCCCUCCUCACUCCAGCAGAAGACUGGGGGUCCAUUCUCUGGAACUCUGAGAUGAGGGACCCCACACCCAGCCAAGCCGGGACUCUGCUGAAUACUGGGGGAUGAAGUUGAUAACCUAUAUAUUAACCCUCAACUCCACUUCCCACUUAAAGAUCUCAGAACUCUGGCAGCCAGAAUCAUACAUUCUGGGCAACAGAUUGAACAUUUAUCUUCUGGGUAUCAGGCAGAACAAGAAAAAAAUAUCUCCAGAUACUGCAGUAGGGUCUCCCGGUGAAAUGCCUUAAGUAAAUCACCCUACAAGAAAGCUCACCAGCCAGCAGCCUCCACCUGUGUUCACAGAGUCAUUCAUCCGCUUUCUGGUGGCUCACUCUUAAAUAUGAAUGAACAACCAGAUUUCAUCAACUGCAUUUGGAAAGUCUAUACCAGGAAAGAGAAAGAAAUAUGGGGGAAAAAAAAAACAGAAAAAAGGACUCCAGAAGAAAUAGAGGCAAACAGAGAGAAAAACAAACAAACAAACCAAUAUUAACAUCUUCACCGAGAUGGGAGAAGAUAUUGCAUCUACAAAGCAAGAAUAAAAUGCUAUAAAAGAGGAACAUUGAGAGGACAAAAGAGAGCUAUUGAGAAUGAAAAAUAUGACAGCAGGAAUGAAAAACUUGGUAGGAGACACAAAAGACGGCACUGAGGGACACUUUCCAGAAAGUCAAGGAAGUAAACAAAGAUGGCAGGUAGAAAACUAUAAAAGUUACGAGGAUCAGACUAGGAGAUCCACCAACAGAAUAGCAGGAGUUCAAGAAAGAGAGUCCAGAGAAAUUGGAGGGCAGAAAUGAUCAAAUACAACAUUUAAGAAAACUUCCCAUGACCGGAGGACAUGAGUUUCUAGAUGGAAAGGACCAGUCCAGCCCUGGGCAUGAUGGAUGGAAGAAGAACUGUAGCAAGAUGCAUCAUCGUGAACAUCCAGAACACGAAGGCAGACAGAAGACCCUGCAAGCUUUCAGAGAGAGAGAAAGAGUAACAGACAAAAGGCCAGCAGCUGGGAUGGCAGAGCAGCACUGGCAGCUAAAGGACAAUGCAGCAGCAAUGCCUUUGAAAUCCUGAUUGGCGUGUUUUGAGGCUGGAAUUCUAUCCCCAGCCAAACUCCCAACCAAGGGCAAAGACAGAAAAAGAUACAUUCAGAAAUGCAAGUUCUCAAAAAUGGCCUUUUCUCUGAAAGUAAACUAAAAAUGAGGAAGCUCUGACAUGCAGGAACCAGGAAUCUGUCAUGAGAGCAAGGGAAGGAGGGCCCAGGAUGCAGGCUGUGCCCUGGCCCAGCCACUGUCCAGACUGGAGCAGGACCAGAGGCUCCCGGAAGAUGACUCUCCCGCACCACCUCCCAGGUCUGGACAUAUGGAGAGGAGCUUGAUACGUAGGGUGGGAAGUGGGGGCUGAAUCAGGGGAGGUCCUCAGAGAGUUAAGCAAAUGGAAAGAGAAGCAUUAACUCCAAGGAAAGUAUAGAUGAAGGGAGUUGCAAUCAUUCUGCACUUGCAGACUCAGCUUUGGAGUGUGUGUGCAGAGCCCUAAUAACAUGAGCACUGACGUGAGUGGGAUGGGUCAGGGAAGGUGGAUGAAAGAGGGCUAAAUCCUUACAUUCUAUAAUGGGGAAUUAAUAGAUCAUGCUUAAAAUAAAAAUAAUUAACAAGGGCCAGGCGUGGUGGCUCAUGCCUGUAAUCCCAGCACUUUGGGAGGCUGAGGCAGGCGGAUCACCUGAGGUUGGGAGUUCAAAACCAGUCUGUUCAACAUGGUGAAACCUCAUCUGUUCUAAAAAUAUAAAAAUUAGCUGGGUGUGGUGGUGCACACCUGUAAUCCCGGCUACUUGGGAGGCUGAGCCAUAAGAAUUACUUGAACCUGGGAGGUGGAGGUUGCAGUGAGCUGAGACUGCACCACUGCACUCCAGCCUGGGCAACAGAAAUAAUAAUUAACAAGGAGCAGUGUAUAAAAGAGACCAGAUACCAAAGUAUAAAUACUGUAUAGCUCUAUUUAGAUGAAGUUCAAGGACUGGCAGGACUCGUCAAAUGGUGAUAAAAGGCAGAAUAGUUGUUACUCUUGGGCGAAGGCAUUGACUGGGACGGGACAGGAGAGAACAUUCUGGGCAGGUGAAAAUGAUCCAGAUCAGGAUCCAGGUGUGAUGACACAGUGCACGUGACCGUACACAUUCAUCAAACUUCAGGCUUACACACUCACAGUCUGGACUUUAUGCCAGUUAAAAAAAGAGAUAGAAAAAAGCGAAGCAGAAGCCUGCGGUUUAUCGAUACAGAAGAAACGCAAAUAGCUAAAAAAGUCAAAAGUGGUUGCCUCUGGAGAAGGUGAGUGGUGAGAGGGGCAGCGACUAAUUUUUUUCUAUGAUAAGCCUUGUAGGAUUAUUUGACUUUAUUAAAUUAUGUGGAUGUAUAACUUUGAUUCUUUUAACGGGUAAAAAAAAAAAAACAAUUGCGCACACAUCACACUCUGCCAGUCCUGGUUUGCUCCCUGCCAGGCAGUGCGCUGCAUCGAUGAGAGAAGGACUUGCCAGCUGGUGCCAUACAGUUAUCUGCAAGGCUGACUUAAAUGGACCCAGGGCCCUGCUCCUGGCUCCUUCCUUGUAAGUUGUGGAGGGGAAGGGCUGGCACCACUUGAGCCGCCAGCUCUGGUGUCAGGGGCCUAGAGGCCAACCAUGUUCCACGGAGGGCAAGAGGCACUGCCCAAGGGCGCUUGCUGUUUGGUAGAGCGGUGGCGGUGGCAGGCUGCAUGCCGGAAACUCCCCAGCCGCCUGGCUCACAAGGAAUGUUCCCAGCUUGCUAUGGGUGACCAGGCCCAGACAGCAGGUGACCAUCUGUGAUAGGGGCUCAGACUCACAGAAUGCACGGUGCACAGAAUGGGGCCUGAGCCGUGGCCUUGCCCCUCCUGCCCCAGUGCCCACCUCCUCACCUCGAAGGCGAGGAUGAAGAUGGUGUCGG